Molecule: long non-coding RNA, 574 nt
Filed under: Salvia miltiorrhiza (redroot sage)
Lineage: Eukaryota; Viridiplantae; Streptophyta; Magnoliopsida; Lamiales; Lamiaceae
Description: long non-coding RNA (SMIL_LNC012577)
Source: RNAcentral
UUUUUAAUCAUGUUUCUGUUUUAUUUUAAUAUGUUUGGCUAAGUUCUUUAUUUGAUUCUAGGGUUUGUAAAUAGUUAAUUAGAGCAUCCCCAGCGCUCGUGUCGAGCGCUGGGUCGACGCGGGGCGAAGGGGGGUGUGCCGCACUGGAGACGCGGCGUGAUGCGAGGCGGCGUCGAAGGCAAGACGCAGGUCAUUGGCGGAUUUUGGCGAAAUAGUGCGCUACACGCGCCGAUUUAAUAAAAAAAUAAAUAAAUGAAGAGUGCGAAAAAAGAAGAAGAAAGAAAAAGAAGGAGUGCAACAAUGGGGGAAAGAUGAGAAAACAAAGGUGGGUUGAGGAAGAAGAGGGGAUUUCGUUUUUGGUUUUGCUUUUGAUUUUAAUUUUAAUUUUUGUUUUUGUUUUUUUUUUUUGUCUUUUAAAAUCCCAAUUUUUUAUUUUAUUUUUUAAAAUUUUCACCUAAUUUUUAAUUGUUGUAAUAUUUUUAAUUUUAAAAUUCUAUAUUUUAUUUUAACUUUUCACGUGCAUUAUUUUACACAACAUGAUCAUCGAAGACGAAGAGGGUGGGUUGGUCUCGUU